CCUGGCUCAGGAUGAACGCUAGCUACAGGCUUAACACAUGCAAGUCGAGGGGCAGCAUGGUCUUAGCUUGCUAAGGCCGAUGGCGACCGGCGCACGGGUGAGUAACACGUAUCCAACCUGCCGUCUACUCUUGGACAGCCUUCUGAAAGGAAGAUUAAUACAAGAUGGCAUCAUGAGUCCGCAUGUUCACAUGAUUAAAGGUAUUCCGGUAGACGAUGGGGAUGCGUUCCAUUAGAUAGUAGGCGGGGUAACGGCCCACCUAGUCUUCGAUGGAUAGGGGUUCUGAGAGGAAGGUCCCCCACAUUGGAACUGAGACACGGUCCAAACUCCUACGGGAGGCAGCAGUGAGGAAUAUUGGUCAAUGGGCGAGAGCCUGAACCAGCCAAGUAGCGUGAAGGAUGACUGCCCUAUGGGUUGUAAACUUCUUUUAUAAAGGAAUAAAGUCGGGUACGGAUACCCGUUUGCAUGUACUUUAUGAAUAAGGAUCGGCUAACUCCGUGCCAGCAGCCGCGGUAAUACGGAGGAUCCGAGCGUUAUCCGGAUUUAUUGGGUUUAAAGGGAGCGUAGAUGGAUGUUUAAGUCAGUUGUGAAAGUUUGCGGCUCAACCGUAAAAUUGCAGUUGAUACUGGAUAUCUUGAGUGCAGUUGAGCAGGCGGAAUUCGUGGUGUAGCGGUGAAAUGCUUAGAUAUCACGAAGAACUCCGAUUGCGAAGGCAGCCUGCUAAGCUGCAACUGACAUUGAGGCUCGAAAGUGUGGGUAUCAAACAGGAUUAGAUACCCUGGUAGUCCACACGGUAAACGAUGAAUACUCGCUGUUUGCGAUAUACUGCAAGCGGCCAAGCGAAAGCGUUAAGUAUUCCACCUGGGGAGUACGCCGGCAACGGUGAAACUCAAAGGAAUUGACGGGGGCCCGCACAAGCGGAGGAACAUGUGGUUUAAUUCGAUGAUACGCGAGGAACCUUACCCGGGCUUAAAUUGCAGAUGAAUUACGGUGAAAGCCGUAAGCCGCAAGGCAUCUGUGAAGGUGCUGCAUGGUUGUCGUCAGCUCGUGCCGUGAGGUGUCGGCUUAAGUGCCAUAACGAGCGCAACCCUUGUUGUCAGUUACUAACAGGUUCCGCUGAGGACUCUGACAAGACUGCCAUCGUAAGAUGUGAGGAAGGUGGGGAUGACGUCAAAUCAGCACGGCCCUUACGUCCGGGGCUACACACGUGUUACAAUGGGGGGUACAGAGGGCCGCUACCACGCGAGUGGAUGCCAAUCCCCAAAACCUCUCUCAGUUCGGACUGGAGUCUGCAACCCGACUCCACGAAGCUGGAUUCGCUAGUAAUCGCGCAUCAGCCACGGCGCGGUGAAUACGUUCCCGGGCCUUGUACACACCGCC
Molecule: ribosomal RNA, 1380 nt
Filed under: uncultured bacterium
Lineage: Bacteria
Description: bacterial SSU rRNA
Rfam family: Bacterial small subunit ribosomal RNA
Source: RNAcentral